GAAGGUUCGGAUCCUUUGUGUCCAUCACCUCCGUGUGAGGGGAGCUCUAGGGGCUCCCCUGUGUACCUCCCAGAGCCCGUUCACAGGGGUAGCAUAGAAACACUCGCAUUUUACAUUGGGAACGGAAUGUUCGCGUUACCUACAAGCCCCAUUUAGUUAAAUCUCAAAAUGUCCUUUGUUUGGUAUCUCAAAAUGGUAGUUCCUGGUGGUAAACUUAGGCGCAGACCAGUGCUGCUUUAACCCGUGCGCUCACAGGAGGUGACAGCAGAGCCUUGGCACUGUCUGUCCCAGCUCCUGUGUGGCUGGCACAGCCGAGCAGCUCUGUGCAGCACGGUUCUGCCAUCAGUUUGUAGUUCUGAGUCCCCGUGCUCUGCAGUGAUCUGGUGUGAGGGGCAGCGGUGCUUGCCCAGGAGUCUGCACAGCCCAGCAAGGUGAGUUCCCAGCUGCGCUGGCCAGGGACAGUGACCACAGCCACCUCCAGCGCUGACAGCAAUGCAGUGGGAGUGGGGCCACACAGCUCUCUGAAAUGCUGACCCAAGGAAAGAGGUGCGGCGGGGCGGAGCCGGCCCGUGGGCGUCCCGCGGGCGACGGACUGCUGCUCAAGGUUCUGCGCCGGAGAUUUGCAACUACAGGCUGAGCACUUUCUCCAUGGCUCAGAGCACAGCUGUGCCGUGCUGUCAGCAGUGAGUCUGUCCACACAAGAGAGGAGCUACCCAGGUCAUUUAACUUCCAAACUGCAUUGGAGUCCUGAUCCAAUUUAGGGAAUGUUAGCCCGUGUCUGGUAGUGGGAUUGUGGCACAGGUGGAACAUGCCUGAUUAUACCUGAAUUACUUAGCAAGAAAUAAUGCUGCACUUGAUUCUAACCAAGAAUUUUAGAAAUAAGGACAGUUUUCAAAUUCUGCUUUUCACACCAAUUGAACAUUCAAUAAAGGCAAUUGCCCUUUAAAGUUUUUUUCA
This 957-nucleotide long non-coding RNA is filed under the name Junco hyemalis (dark-eyed junco). RNAcentral describes it as "lncRNA (ENSJHYG00000011173.1)". The record is from RNAcentral. Lineage: Eukaryota; Metazoa; Chordata; Aves; Passeriformes; Passerellidae.